AGUCAAACUGAUAACCUUCUCGAACAAAUAAAUCACGGAAAAGCCUUUUCAAAUAGGAAUAAUCUGGUUUGUCUUCAAAACGCAAUGAUCGACAAUAAUGGAAGUAUGAUAUGAACUCUGAUGGAUAUGAUUUGCAAAGAACCUCAACAGGAGUUAACAUCUUCUUUUCACUGAUUUUAUCAUAUUUUUGCUUCUUUGUCCCUGCUUUAAGGCCCUGCCAGGGAAGGCUUCCCCUCAGAAAAUACAUAAGCACAUAUCCAAGAGAUUCCAGAUCAUCCCUUCUGCUUUGCUCUGGAAGUAAAAUAUUACCACAGUUAGGCUGAGAUUUAAUGUUGGAUCAAAUUUGAUUGUGAUAGCAACAUCUAGCACCCAUAUUCAAUUACAAGCUACGGUCAGCCACUCACCAACUCCAAGAUGUGUGUUAACACUAGCAUAGCGAGCUGUGCCUGUGAGAUUUUUGUUUUCCCUAUAUGGUAUAUGCUUGUGCGUUUGAAGAUCCUUGUACUUUUUUGCAAGGCCAUAAUCAAUGAUGUAGACCUGUGUUUAAGAGGAAAAACAGCGAAAAUAAUAAGGACAACUAUGAGGAUAUGCUAUACUUGAAGAUCUGUUAGUGUACCAAUUAUAAUGCCAAGUAAAUAAAAUGGACUAAAAAAGCUUCAUUUCAUUUUCAAUUUCAAGAUCACUUAGAGAAAGUACCUAACGGAAUACAAGAUUGAAUAUUGAAAAAGAGAGCUCAAUCUCAAUUAAGCUUCAUAAAAUGUUUAAGAAUGUUGUAAUCAAUAGUCAAACACUAGAAAAAUCAUCACUUAACAAAAUUACAACUUUAAUUACCCAAAAAUACAACAUGAUUGUUACUAUUCACACUUUUGCAUGCCUUCUUGCUUCUCUCCUUGUUUCAGGUCCUUACAAGUUACAUAGCGUUGUAGUAGCUCAUCAUUUAGAUUAAUUAAAAAAGUCAAAAGUCAUAAUAUCAUGCCACAUCUCUUUCAAAUUUCACUAUUAUAACUGCUAACAAUUCCAACUUCAUUGAUUAUGUUCUCACAAGUUAAAAGAUGGCAUAGAAUAAAUAUAAUCAAUUGGCAAGUCAACGCUACAAAAGGAAGGCCACGUAAACUGUUGUUGCAUAAGAUUUAAAAGAAAUGGAACAAUUGACAAGCCGAAGGCCAAAGGGGCGAUUUCUGUCAUGGCAGUCAACAUAAAUGUUACAUCUGUGAAAAUUUCCCCACAUCAGCUCAUCUUACUUAGUACAUUAUUGAUUCAGCACCAUUCUUACUACUUAGAUAUAUCUACAUUAUGCAAACUUGCACCGUAGAUUCAAGGAGUUAUUUUUACAGGAACAAUGGCUUUUGUACCUAUGGCAACUAGAUGACACUAGUAGAACUGAUGUUUCCAAAAAAAGCGACAAGAUAUAUUUUAAAUAAGACCUUAGAAGUUAGAACCGCAUGUAUAGAAGAGUCCAAAUAAAUUUGAUGAGCAAAAAUAUAAGUGAGAGGAUACAUUCACGUAAAGGCAUUAAACAGAAGAACUUACCUGAUUUGCUUUACGCCCUAAACCCAUUAAAAAGUUGUCAGGCUUU
Molecule: unclassified non-coding RNA, 1576 nt
Filed under: Hevea brasiliensis (rubber tree)
Lineage: Eukaryota; Viridiplantae; Streptophyta; Magnoliopsida; Malpighiales; Euphorbiaceae
Source: RNAcentral